RNAcentral lists this long non-coding RNA (3775 nucleotides) under Sus scrofa (pig). RNAcentral describes it as "lncRNA (ENSSSCG00025062297.1)". The record is from RNAcentral. Lineage: Eukaryota; Metazoa; Chordata; Mammalia; Artiodactyla; Suidae.
GAUACAUGUAUGUAUCUAGACACAGAUACACCUCUAUUGACAUAUAUGCGUAUGAAAAUAUCUGUAUGUAUAAAGUGAAGUUCACACCACACUCCUAAUUCCAACCCAAUAAACAGGUUUUAUUCAAGUGCUCCCCUUUUCCAUAUUUAUAGAACCCUCAUUUCCAUAGGGACAGUCCUAGCUUCCAUGAUCCUUAUUAUAGCUAUUUAUUUCAUCAUCCCCUUUAGAUCAGUUUCCUGUUGUUGCUGUAACAAGGUACCACAAAACUUAGUGCCUUAAAAAAUCAAAAACUUAUUUUCUUGUAAUUCUGGACUUUGUUUUUAAUAUGGCUGCACUUUCCGCACAUGGAAGUUCCUGGGUCAAAUAGGAGCUGCGGCUGCUGGCCUACACACAGCCACAGCAACACCAGAUCUGAGCCUCAUCUUCUAGCAAUGCUGGAUCCUUAACCCAAACGUUUACGUGUUUUCCCGAUAAAAUUACCCCCACGAAGGAGAAAUUAUCUGGGGUCACUGCAGCCCAUGGCGAUCAGCUCAAGCCAGAGAAGAGAACAGAAGAGGAAAGGCCUGGAAGGAAAUACACCCAAACACUCUCUACAGGUGGUUUUCCUUGGGUGGUUGGAAGCAGCUGGGGGUGGGGGGAGCUAUGUUGAUGUGUUUCCUUAGUUUCGAUUUUACUAAUUUUCUCAUUAUUCACCCAGGUACUAUGGCAGGGUGGACCUGCAGCCAGACAGAAGCUGGGCCUGUGGGCCACGGCCAUGACCUCCCUGAUCCGCUUGGACAGGGCCACAGGGCUCAGAGGUGGGGUGGGCUCAGCCUUCCUCAGGGUCCCAGCUGCAGGGACGCAGGGAACCAGGGGCUGAGGGGUCCAAGCUGAUGGACUUAGAGGUCUGGCAGGAAUGCCCAUCUUUGCUGGCUGUGGACUAAAGUAGCGGGGGCAGGGAACGGGCCGACAGUCCGGACACAACCUGUUUUGACUUUGGGGUCCAUUAGCACAUGGAGGGGGGUGCCUGGAUCCCAUCCUCCCACGGAGACAGUGCACCUUUCGAGGGAGCCGGCAGCAUGGCCCCCUUAUCUCGGUGUGUGACAGCCCGGGUCCGAGGCCUCGGAGCUCUCAGUGCCUUCUGAGUUCCCCACAGCAGGGACAGGAACACAACUUCCUUCCUUCUGUGGUCUCACAACUGGCCUUUGGGGCAACUACCUUCACCUCCAUGUCACGCUGGGGAUCCAGGAGCUUCACCUGGCUGGGCAGGAGGGGCACCAGGGCUCUGGGGCAUUGGAGGCCAACCUCCCAGGGGACCUGGGUGAGGUGCCCUGAUGCUCUGAGGAUGAAGGAGAGGCAGGUGCCAGUCACAUAACCCCUUGCCAUGUGACCCGGGCCCCUCUGAGACCAGCCCUCAGGUGGGAUGUGAGCUGCAGCCACAGGUGGCAGGCUGAGGAGGAAGGCAUGGAGGGCAGGUGUGUCUACAGUGCUGAGGGAGCAGGGAAACCAAGAUGGAGCUCCCGUGAGGAAGAAGGUUCUGCGUCCAAAAUGCAAGGAAGAGCUUAGCAAUCCGAGGCCAGGCGCAUCAGGCACAGGUGGAUGUGGCACAUGGAACAGCUUUAUUUAACAGUGGAACUGUGAUGGCUACGAUGGGGGAAACGGAGGCUCAGAGAGGUGCCAUGCUUGCCCAAAGCCUUGCCCAGCUAUUCAGUACUGAGUCACUUGCUCUCGGAGAAAAUGCCUUGCCCGGAGCUGGUCUGGGACUGCGUGUCACUCUGAGCAGGUGGCACUGGCCUGACACAAAGCAAAGCAGCCCCACAGGCAUGGAUUUCCUCAGAAGGUAAUGCUAUCAAUCAGCAAGUAUUUUACUGCCCAGCGACAAAAGGAAUGUUGACUCACCAAGUUGCAGCCACACGGCUGGAAGCUGAGACAUUGCCUCCAACCUGGCUCAUGGGUUGUUAGCACGUUGGCCUGGCAGCAUGGGCUGCAGGGCACCCACCUGCCCCCACAUCUCCUGCUCUGGGAUUCCAGCCCCUCCCACCCCAGCCACAGACACAAAGAAGGCCAUUACUGAUGUCUCCCCCACACCUCUCCCACCGCAUAGGCUGCCUGGGGACACCAGGCCCUCUGGUGACCAGGGUGGUGGGGAAGGCCAGGGUACGAAUCAAGAAUCCACAUCGCUGUGGCCUGGCUGCCUGCUGGGGGCCCUCGAUUAUCCGAGUGCAAGGUGCCAUUGAAGGAAGGCUGGUGAGCCUCCCGGCCAGCAGGGCUCUGCCUGCAGUAGACAGUCCUUGCCAGCAGUGACAUCCCGAAGGACCAUGCUGGGGAUGCUGGUCAGGUGGAAACAUCCUGUCAACUUAGAGAAACUGGUGAUUUGCACACACUCUUUACCCAUCAUUCUCCUCAACAUAAGUGGACUGACUGAUGGUUCGGCCAGUUUUCUUCUACUGACCACAGGUCAGAGCGUCCCCAUCCAGAACGCACCCCCCAGCCCCAGGGAUGGUCGGGGGUGUACAGUAACAGCGCGGCAGGCACACAGUGGCGGCUCGCUCCCUCCAGGUGCAGCAGGGGCUGGGGGACCAUGCGCCAUGGACCAGUCUCCCAGCAUCGGCUCUGACCCUGCUCUUGUUCUCACAUCCAGAAAUGGAGCCAAGGAGCAGGACCCAGCUGUGACCAGCAUCUUCACUCCAUUACGAUUUUGUUAAAGCCUAAAUCACUUGGAAACCUUGAGGCAAUACGUCUCCCAUGGGAUCCAGACCCAGCAAUGGGCAGUGGCUUCACUGAGAAAAGCCCUCUGAGGGCGAAGGACCUGCCCGGGUGUUGCAUGUGGGGACUCUGAGAGCCUUCUGUCCACUGGGGAGGGAGGACCCUGGAAUCACCCUCCCAGCAGGAACAGGGGACAGAUGGCACGCUUGACCCAUAAAGGAAUACAAACAGGCUUACAGACACCAGCCAGGGCGGGGAGGCAGGCCGGGGCCAGCAAAGCUGGAUGCACCCCUUUUCUGCAGCCCCUCUGGCUGAAGGGUCAGGCCAGGGGGUGAGAGUGGAGCCCAGGGCCGGCAGAGCUAGAAGAGAAGGAAAGUAUUUCUCUGUGGAAAUCCUGUCUCAGACAAGCCUCCCACAGACAGAGUGAGCAGGGGAGGUAAUGCCUCAGCCUUUAAAAAGCAUCUCAUCUCAGUUUUACUACAGAAGAGAAGAGCUUAUCUCCUUUCAGAGAAACAAAUUUUAUCAAAGUUUGUCCCAGGUUCUUCGUAACUCACUACAAUGCUCUCACAUUUCCUUCCAACACUGAACUAAGAUAAGUAAGGUUCUCAUUGAAUCAAACGACUCUAACUUGUAACCAAAAGCUGCUCAAAUUAGAGUUCUAAGGAGUUCCCAUCGUGGUGCAGCAGAAAUGAAUCUGACUAGGAACCAAGAGGUGGUGGGUUCAAUCCCUGGCCUUGCUCAAUGGGUUAAGGAUCCGGCGUUGCUGUGAGCUGUGGUGCAGGUUGAAGAUGCGGCUUGGAUCCCGCAUUGCUGUGGCUGUGGCAUAGGCUGGCAGCUAUAGCUCCGAUUAGACCCCUAGCCUAGGAACCUCCAUUUGCCACGGGUGCAGCCCUGAAAAGACAAAAACAAACAAACAAACAACCAAAAAAAUUAGAAUUCUAAGAAUAGCAUAAGUGGAGUUACCUGGUGGUUCAGUGGGUUGGGGAUCCAGCGUUGUCACUGCUAUGGCUCAGGUUCCAUUCCCGGCCUGAGGAAUUUCUCCAUGCCAUGGGCACAGUCAGAAAAAAAAAAAGAAAGAAAGAAAAAAAAA